GAGCUAGUUUUAGGCCCAUAUGAGCCAUACAGUGCGUGUGCUGGCAAUACGCAAAAUCCGCUUCUUGUUCUGGGAGAAAUUGUCUAUUCAAACCUGGUUGAGACAAAGUUGUGUAUGUCAUGCUAAAACAUCAAAGGCUAGCAAGGAACGGCGUUGCGCACUCUGUAGAGAGCAAUAGAUCGCCCGUUCCUCAUCAUGACAAUGAGGACGCGCUAGAAUCAGCAUGCUGCGGAAUGGUCCAAGAGACGGCAGGGAAGUCUUUCUGCGGAUAUUCUGCCUGUACUUGUGUAACAAACUCCAGUUCACCUACA
This 311-nucleotide small RNA is filed under the name Histoplasma ohiense. Its description in RNAcentral is "hypothetical lncRNA". The record is from RNAcentral. Lineage: Eukaryota; Fungi; Ascomycota; Eurotiomycetes; Onygenales; Ajellomycetaceae.